AGCUGACUCCUUUUCAAUAGAAAGUAACAGCCAAGUCGAAACAGGGCCUCAUAUAAUGCAGUGACUUCUGAGCAUUCAUCAAAUGUCAAGUAUGAUCUUACAGGAGUUGCUUUGACAAAAUGCCUGACAUAAAUUUGUUUUCUUAAGAUAAAUUGUGCUACUGAUCGACAACUGUUUGCAAAAUUGCAUUCAUGGGCAAUGAUUUCUAAAAAUUUAAGACCUCAUUAAAAUCCUAAACAGUUGUGACCUUCUGAGCUUUUGUUGGCCGCUGGGUUGGAUAAUCAUUUUCUUUUGAGUGGGAGCUUCUGCCUUCAGACCGUCUUCCACCUUUAUUAGAUUUGCCUUUCCUCUCUUUUAAGUGGGAGCUUCUGCCUUCAGAUUGUCCUCCACAUUUACUGGAUUUGUGUUUCCUGCCCGGCUCAAACAAAAGAUAUACAAUUUUGGAAAUCAAUGAUAGCCAGACCAAAAAAUAAGAGCAAAUUUCUUUGAAAUAUUGCCAAUGGAAGGGAUAAAAGAAAGGGGACCACUAUUUCCAGUUACAGAAGGGUUGCUUGCACAUAUGGGGCAAGUAUCCACCACUAAAAUCAACAUGGAGCCAUGCAUAGAAGCAGUCCUUCCAUGUGUUAAAACACAGUUCCCAUUAUACACAAAAUAUUACACACAAGCACAAGAAGCAUGGCACAUGCAUACCGUUUUCUAUCAUCUCUACUUUCCUGGCAACCUUCCUCCUUAAGAUCAUGCAUAUUCCAGUGCUCCUCUUCAGUCUUAGCAAUAACUGCUUCAAAUGAAACAAAGAAAUUCUUCACAAUGAGACCUUCUUCAAUAAAUUCUGCAGCAGCACAGGCUUUUAUAGCUCCUUCUGGUUCUUGAAAAUGAAUGCAACCUGAAGCUGCUCCCUCAUGAUAGUCAACACACUUAACAGCACCGAACCUUUGGAAGACAUCCUUUAGGUCCUCACACAAGAGAAUGUCCUUUUCUCCAUGGACAAAAGUAGUGCACCCUCCCCCCCUGGUUACUUUCUCAUUACUCACUUGACAAACUCUUUCAGAAGAUUGGUCUCUAUCACCGAAAAUAGCAUCUUGCAGAUCCUCUGCCUUGCUCUCUUCAGAAAUGAUCUCUUUGGAAUUAUUUUUAGUCUUCAAAAUGCUAUUUUCACUAUUUACAAUUUCUUGAGAGACAAUCUGACAACUCUUUUCAACUGUUUUGCAAGUUUCCUUCAGUGGGCUUUCUGAAAUAUCGUCAGAGACGUUUUCAAUCCCUUUAACAACACGAACAUUGGAGUCCAAAUUCUUGUCUUCUUUACAAACACCUCCACUGUCAGUAACUUGCUCAACAUUGCCUCCAUUUUUUACUGGUUUCCCAGUUGAUUUCCUCUUCAGUGAAAAUGCAACCAUUGAACCUUUGGGAUAGUUGGAUGUUGUGCUGGCAUUAUUCUUAUGAUUUGAGCAGUCUUUCCCAAUUUGCUCUGUCAAUUUUGCUCUCUCAGAAUCAAACUCCUUUUUUGGCUUUAACUCUAAAAUGGCUCCAGCGUAAACUAAAGUUUGCUUGAAGAUAUCUUUCACAUCUGCAUCUGUAGAAAACUCAAUCAAAGCCGUGCCACAAAAAACCCUUUUGUCUGCCACAUGACGAGGAAGCCUCACACUAUUAACCUUGCUAAAUUUAGCAAAGAAAGAUUCCACAUUUUCCAUCGUAACAUCAUACUGAAAAGGCGAGGCAGCAAUUGUUCUUUCAUCCAUUUGCUGAAUAACUUCUUCUGGCUUUGACAGCUCCUUAACCCUACCCACCUUUUUCCCAUCAUCAGAAACUUUAAGAAAAUCCGAUUUCCGUAGAAUCUCAGCAACUGAUUUUAGCACCCUAUAGGGAAUGUCAUCUUGUCUUAUUUUACCCAGUCCCAGAAAAGCUCUGAUUCUAGAGAAUGAGCAUACAAGGCCCAAGCUAACCAUGCCAUCUUUGCCUUGAGAGACUUUCUUCAUAAGGAAAUCAUCUCGAGGUAAAUUGCUGUCGCUGAAGUAGAACUCCACCUGACGAAGGAGUUUUUUUGCGGUUUCUUCGUCCAAUGAAGCCAUUGGAGCCUAAUCACUCAGAGAGAGAGAGAGAAACAGGGAGCAGCUCCGGCCUCCAGGUUUUUGGCGGUUGAUAAUGACAACUUGAGAGGAGCAGUGCGCUGUGCCGCGGUGGUCGUGGGCUUUUGAGAG
This 2195-nucleotide unclassified non-coding RNA is filed under the name Hevea brasiliensis (rubber tree). The record is from RNAcentral. Lineage: Eukaryota; Viridiplantae; Streptophyta; Magnoliopsida; Malpighiales; Euphorbiaceae.